RNAcentral lists this ribosomal RNA (918 nucleotides) under bacterium MH15. RNAcentral's name for it is "bacterial SSU rRNA". It matches the Rfam family "Bacterial small subunit ribosomal RNA", at positions 30 to 911 of the family's 1533-position model. The record is from RNAcentral.
AUAGUGUUGGCGGGAGGGCUAAACAUGCAAGUCGAGCGGCAACUAGUUAACUGAACCUUCGGGUUACGAUACAGCGUGGUCGAGUGCCGGUGGGUGAGUAAUGCCUGGGAAAUUGCCCUGAUGUGGGGGAUAACCAUUGGAAACGAUGGCUAAUACCGCAUAAUAGCUUCGGCUCAAAGAGGGGGACCUUCGGGCCUCUCGCGUCAGGCUAUGCCCAGGUGGGAUUAGCUAGUUGGUGAGGUAAGGGCUCACCAGGGCGACGAUCCCUAGCUGGUCUGAGAGGGUGAUCAGCCACACUGGAUCUGAGACACGGUCCAGACUCCUACGGGAGGCAGCCGUGGUGAAUAUUGCACACUGGGCGCACGCCUGAUGCAGCCAUGCGGCGUGUAUGAAGAAGGCCUUCGGGUUGUAAAGUACUUUCAGCAGUGAGGAAGGUGGUAGUGUUAAUAGCACUAUCAUUUGACGUUAGCUGCAGAAGAAGCACCGGCUAACUCCGUGCCAGCAGCCGCGGUAAUACGGAGUGUGCGAGCGUUAAUCGGAAUUACUGUGCGUAAAGCGCAUGCAGGUGGUUUGUUAAGUCAGAUGUGAAAGCCCGUGGCUCAGCCCUCGGAAUUGCAUUUGAAACUGGAACGACUAGAGUACUGUAGAGGGGCGUAGAAUUUCAGGUGUCGCGGUGAAAUGCGUAGAGAUCUGAAGGAAUAUCGGUGGCGAAGGCGGCCCCCUGGAUAGAUACUGACACUCAGACGCGAAAGCGUGGUCAGCACACUGAAUUAGAUACCCGUGUUAGUCCAUCGCCGUAAACGAUGUACUACUUGCGAGGAUUGUGGCUUUGAGCAGGGACUUUUACGGGAGCUAACCGCCGUUAAAGUAGACCGCCUUGGGGGAGUACGGGUCGCUAGAUUAAAACUCAAUAUAUUU